GCGGGUGUAGCUCAGUGGUAGAGCAGCGGGUUGUGGCUCCGCUGGCCGCGGGUUCAAUCCCCGUCACUCGCCCCA
Molecule: transfer RNA, 75 nt
Filed under: Ignavibacteria bacterium
Lineage: Bacteria; Pseudomonadati; Ignavibacteriota; Ignavibacteria
Also listed under: 1 other name
Description: tRNA-His
Rfam family: tRNA
About the family: Transfer RNA (tRNA) molecules are approximately 80 nucleotides in length. Their secondary structure includes four short double-helical elements and three loops (D, anti-codon, and T loops). Further hydrogen bonds mediate the characteristic L-shaped molecular structure. tRNAs have two regions of fundamental functional importance: the anti-codon, which is responsible for specific mRNA codon recognition, and the 3' end, to which the tRNAs corresponding amino acid is attached (by aminoacyl-tRNA synthetases). tRNAs cope with the degeneracy of the genetic code in two manners: having more than one tRNA (with a specific anti-codon) for a particular amino acid; and 'wobble' base-pairing, i.e. permitting non-standard base-pairing at the 3rd anti-codon position.
Source: RNAcentral